GCUCAGAACGAACGCUGGCGGCAGGCCUAACACAUGCAAGUCGAACGAAGGCCCAGAGCUUGCUCUGGAUCCCUUAGUGGCGCACGGGUGAGUAACGCGUGGGAAUCUGCCCCGGAGCGGGGAAUAACAGUUGGAAACGGCUGCUAAUACCGCAUACGCCCUGAGGGGGAAAGGCUUCGGCCACUCUGGGAUGAGCCCGCGUUAGAUUAGCUUGUUGGUGAGGUAAAGGCUCACCAAGGCGACGAUCUAUAGCUGGUCUGAGAGGAUGAUCAGCCACACUGGGACUGAGACACGGCCCAGACUCCUACGGGAGGCAGCAGUGGGGAAUAUUGGACAAUGGGGGAAACCCUGAUCCAGCCAUGCCGCGUGAGCGAAGAAGGCCCUAGGGUUGUAAAACUCUUUCAGUGGCGACGAUGAUGACGGUAACCACAGAAGAAGCCCCGGCUAACUCCGUGCCAGCAGCCGCGGUAAUACGGAGGGGGCUAGCGUUGUUCGGAAUUACUGGGCGUAAAGCGCACGUAGGCGGCGUGAAUAGUUAGGGGUGAAAGGCCUGGGCUCAACCUGGGAACUGCCUCUAAUACUGGCAUGCUAGAAUCCGGGAGAGGGUAGCGGAAUUCCAAGUGUAGAGGUGAAAUUCGUAGAUAUUUGGAAGAACACCGGUGGCGAAGGCGGCUACCUGGACCGGUAUUGACGCUGAGGUGCGAAAGCGUGGGGAGCGAACAGGAUUAGAUACCCUGGUAGUCCACGCCGUAAACGAUGAGUGCUAGUUGUCGGGGGCUUGCCCUUCGGUGACGCAGCUAACGCGUUAAGCACUCCGCCUGGGGAGUACGGCCGCAAGGUUAAAACU
RNAcentral lists this ribosomal RNA (847 nucleotides) under uncultured Alphaproteobacteria bacterium. RNAcentral's name for it is "SSU rRNA". It matches the Rfam family "Bacterial small subunit ribosomal RNA", at positions 22 to 901 of the family's 1533-position model. Lineage: Bacteria; Pseudomonadati; Pseudomonadota; Alphaproteobacteria. The record is from RNAcentral.